UAGGGAAAUGCCUCCCCUUCACAGGCCUGAAGACAUGUCUGGAGGACAUUUAUUUUCACUGAUGAUUGAUGUUUGAGAGCCCAGAUAACUAAGGUGCUGCCAAUCUCAAGCAGUUGAAAAAGCCAUCAAGUUCACACUAGUAAGAAGCAUUCUUCCAUGGUCUCUGUUUUUGUUACUGUCUCCUGGUUUCUGCCCUAACCCUAAAAAAAUGAGUUGCUCAAAGGACCAAUGCCACCCAAUAUUGCAUGUUUUUAUUCUAAAGACUCUCAGAAGAAAUUGCUAUUCCUGUAUCCAUAACAGAAGACAAGGAUAGUCCCUAAGCUUUCCUUUGUCAGAAGACACCACAAGAGUGAGGAGUGGCAACCAAAGGAAUGGGAGAUGGGUAGAAUUGGAGUACAUCAUAUAAGGUUCCCAAAGAAUUAGUAAAAAUAGAAAAUGUGUAGGGUAAAAAUCAAAUUUCACUUUCUUCCAUUUGUUAAUAUGAAAUAAACAAUUAGUUGUCAGAUUAAUGAGACUCUAGUCUAUUGAAAACUAUGAGCAUAUUAAGCAAUUCAGUGUAGUUUUGACAAAGGUAUAGAAUUUACUGUACAACAAGGUUUCAAGAUGUUGUAUUUGGAACAGGAAAUUUCAUUUAACUCUUGAUAUAUCCACAGGAUAAGAUUUGGUGAUGAGGAAUAUUUAAAAUUAAAAUUAAAUUGAGUUCCUUUAUUGUAAAAAAAAUGAAAUGAAGGAAAGAAAAGCAAAGAAAUUCAUUAACAACAAGGAGAACAUGAGCACUGCUAUCAAUCAAUUUGACCUAACAUACAUUUAUAGAACACCUCAUCAGAUGAGAGUUCAUGACAGCAUGCAUGUCCAGUACACACAAGGCACUCUUCACAUGCUUUAUGUUACUUGCUAUUUAACAGGCUAAAUAAACAUAAAAGACCUGAUAUAAAGCUAUGUGUGCAAUCCAUCUACAGGGAAAUUAAAUUGUAAGUUAAUAGCAGAAUACAAUCUCUAAGAAUCACAAUACAUAAAAAUUAAGUUUUGUAUUCUUAAAAUAAUAAAUUAAAAGGGAAAGCAAAACUAUUUUGAAUCAAAUUGAAAAUAAAUGCUGUCACAGCCCCAGAGUGCCAUACAAUCUAACUUUAAAAAUAUAAAUCACAAACACUGUGAAGCUUCCCAAGUUGGGUCUCCUCCAUCUUGCAUAAGUGUCUCUUUCAGGACAGAAAUUGUUGAAGUGUGGAUGAACAAUUUGCUGUUUAUAUAUGGCACAUAUCAGAAUGUAUGUAACCUGCUGAAGAACUUGAGUGUAAGAAAAGUUCCUGUAACUUAUCUUUACCAAUAGGACAUGGAAAUAGAAUCAUACAGUUGGUAGUAUUUUGAGAUUGGUUUAUUUCACUGAUAAUGAUACCUGAUACAUUUGUGAUUCAUAAAAUUUUGUAUAUCAAUGCAUUCAAUCUUACUGCUACUGAGUUUUCCAUUAAAUGUAUGAAGGGUUGUUUAUUCAUUCACCCCUGAAAUGAAACUGAGGUGUUUCCAGCAUUUAACACUUAGUGAAUAAAACUUUCAUGAGAUGUAUGGA
Long non-coding RNA from Mesocricetus auratus (golden hamster), 1564 nucleotides. RefSeq lists it as uncharacterized. The transcript has 3 exons. The record is from RefSeq and is a predicted model, not a curated record. NCBI's taxonomy places the organism in Eukaryota, Metazoa, Chordata, Mammalia, Rodentia, Cricetidae.